UUUUAAAUGGCCGCAGUAUUCUAACUGUGCAAAGGUAGCAUAAUCAUUAGUCUUUUAAUUGAAGGCUGGAAUGAAUGGUUGGACGAAAUAUUAACUGUUUCAUUUAAAUUUUUUAUAGAAUUUUAUUUUUUAGUCAAAAAGCUAAAAUAAAUUUAAAAGACGAGAAGACCCUAUAAAUCUUUAUAUUUUAUUUAUUUUAAUUAUAAAGAUUAUUUUUGUUAUAAUAAAUUAAAAUAUUUUAUUGGGGUGAUAUUAAAAUUUAAAAAACUUUUAAUUUUUAAAACCAUUAAUUUAUGAGUAAUUGAUCCAUUAAUAAUGAUUAAAAAUUUAAGUUACUUUAGGGAUAACAGCGUAAUUUUUUUGGAGAGUUCAUAUCGAUAAAAAAGAUUGCGACCUCGAUGUUGGAUUAAGAUAUAAUUUUGGGUGUAGCCGUUCAAAUUUUAAGUCUGUUCGACUUUUAAAUUCUU
RNAcentral lists this ribosomal RNA (467 nucleotides) under Drosophila conformis. Its description in RNAcentral is "partial 16S ribosomal RNA". It matches the Rfam family "Bacterial large subunit ribosomal RNA", at positions 1921 to 2597 of the family's 2925-position model. Lineage: Eukaryota; Metazoa; Arthropoda; Insecta; Diptera; Drosophilidae. The record is from RNAcentral.